Marmota flaviventris (yellow-bellied marmot) is the source of this 962-nucleotide non-coding RNA. The record is from RefSeq and is a predicted model, not a curated record. Lineage: Eukaryota; Metazoa; Chordata; Mammalia; Rodentia; Sciuridae.
UGGGGUGCCAAGUGAUCCUCUGACAACUUCUCAGUCCUUCCUUUUCUCCUCAGGUGUUGCCUCUACUGUGGUUUAGGUAGCUGUGCCCCAAGACCCAGGUGUGGAAGGCUUGAUGUCCAGCCUGUGGCACUAUUAGAAGGUGACAGAACCUUUAAGAAGUGGAGCAAAAGGGAGGUCUUCAGAUCACCAGGGACAUGACCUUUCAGGGGACAGUGGGACCCCAACUGCUUCCUCUUUUAUUUGUUUUCCUUUUUUGGCCCCUGGCCACAAGCUGAGCAGUUUUGCUCCACCAUUCCCUCCUGCCAUGAUGUGCUGCCUCAUCCAAAAUAAUGGAGCCAAUUGAUCAUGAACUGCAACCUCUAAAACUGCACAGAGAUGGUUAUUACACCAUCACAAAUUAUUCCUACUCUGAUUUUUAGCCUAAAUUCAGUGCUCAGUUUCCCAAACUUUGCCAUUCAAACAACAACUCAUCUCUUCCAACAUUCCACACACAACAGAGGCUCACUGGAUUUCCAACUGUGAUCUCAGCUGUGGAUUUUGAAGCCUCUGCACUGAAACUUCUUUGUUCUGGGCCAGAGCUUCUCAGACUUCUACUGCUGUUAGUCCAUUGUGCUACUAUAACAAAACAUCUGAGGCCAGAGUCUACUGUGAAGUUGAAUUAGCAUAAGAUUUGAUUGUCACUGGCAAAACUGCCACCACACUGUCCUGACAUGGCAGAUCCUCUCAUGGAAUCAUAAUGAGAGAAAUCUAUGUGUAUCUUCUUGGUUCAACCACAGCAAACUUAGGGUGCCCAGGAAGGUUCCUCCAGCAUGAAAGUGUGGCCAGAAGGCCAUGCACCUAAAGUGUGAAAGCCAUGAUGCUGUCCUCAGUGUCAGGUUUUCCCUGGCUGCUGGAGAAAUGCUGAUGGUUUUUCAUUCAAAAACCAAGAGAUCUUCCUGAGUAACAGAAUAUUUUGGCAAUUU